Entelurus aequoreus (snake pipefish) is the source of this 985-nucleotide long non-coding RNA. RefSeq lists it as uncharacterized. The transcript has 3 exons. The record is from RefSeq and is a predicted model, not a curated record. NCBI's taxonomy places the organism in Eukaryota, Metazoa, Chordata, Actinopteri, Syngnathiformes, Syngnathidae.
AGUCGCUGAAUUAGGACACAACUCGUGUGUGUGUGUGUGAGGUUUUGUUUUUUUUAUUCUUUUUUGUGACGCACUUACUUUCCUCCUCGCUGCUGCCCUUUUUCUUUUUUUUUCUUUUUUGUUCAGGCACUUGGACGGACAACUGACACACAACACUUCUUCGUUCUCCGCCGACACGGUGUGUUCACAGACCAUGGGGAAAAUGACCGUCAUAACACAUUAACACCAGCAGGGCCUUUUGCGGUCCCAGGCUGCAUGUCCAAGUGUGGAGUGUGGAGUGUGGAGUGGGUCCCCCAUGCAGGACAAUAACUCCAGCAGGAGUUUAGAGCGAGGGCGAGUCCUCUCAGUGAGGAGUUGGUCAGCAGCAGCACAGCAGCCUCGCUCUUCUCCGGAUUCUUUUCCCCUCUCUUCGAACUUCAUUGGACCACACGUCCUCUCUUCCACCAGCUGUAAGACAAACCUUCUUUUUUCUUUUUUCAAUAUAGCUUGGAUUAUUAUUAUUAGUUUAAUAUUUACUAUUUAUAUAUAUGGAUUAUUAUUCAUUAGUUGAAUAUUUACAAAUAGUAAUUGGGGUAAAUGAAUACUAUGUCAUAAAUGAUGAAUAUAUUCAUGACUUUCUCAAUAUUAAACUGCUGUUUGAAGCCGAUUGUAACAAUUUUACACAAAAAUAUCCUUAGAAAAGUUUGUAACAUAUUCUGCCUUGCUAUACCCCCCCAAAAAAACAAAAAAAAAACACACACAGCACUUGAGUACACUUUAUUCUGGAACAUCAACAGUAAUAAAAAAAUACAUUUUUUUUGUUUUUGUUUGUUUGUUUACCUGCAAUGAAUAUAAUUAUUGCAUAAAAACGUUAUAUUAUGCACAUCCACUAUAAGCAAAAAUAUGAUUUGUUAUGAUAGUUUAAUUGUCUUCAUUUGACACAAUAAGAGUUUUGCAGUUUUGUGCAUAUAUAUGUGGAAAAACGUCAUUUCAUGCGCAGAAAAAU